GUAUGGGCUAUAGCGAAGAGACGGAUUAGUAAACAAAAUUCUACCUGCCCCGCUGCAGGUGGCUGUUAUGGAGACCCUUUGGGGAGGCCAUUGUCGCCAUGUUUGACCAGGAGGCUAAACCUUCAAGUGGUGUCUUAGAGGAUGAGAAGAAAGAUGUUAUUAAAGUCAAAGUUAUUGGAGAAGAUAGAAGUGAGAUACACUUCAGACUGAAAAUGACAACAAGGCUCAAGAAACUUAAGGACUCAUACAGUCGAAGACUGGAUCUGUCAGUGAAUUCACUGAGGUUUCUCUUUGAAGGCCAGAAGAUUGCCGAUGACCAUACUGCAGAAGAGCUGGGGAUGGAGGAGGAAGACGUGAUUGAAGUCCAUCAGGAACAAACGGGAGGUGGAGUGUCACUCGACAGCUUAGGAAGAUCUGACAGAAAUCUAUCUGGAAAAAUAGGAAAUCAUUAAACACUUUAGAUGUUCUUUGUAAUUUUUCUUUUUCCCUAAUGCUAUUGUUUUUAAUGUGGUUCGUUUGUGAUGUGGUGUUCAGAGUAAAAAUUGAACAUUGUCACUUCAUCUCUUUAGAACACCUGGAAGUCUGAAUUCUAGUGCUCAGUAUUCAUUAUGAUGAUUUUGGUGAUCAAACCUCAGCUCCUUUAGAAUACGCACCGCGAGGCUGCCCUUCUUGGGACAAGUGUGAUGAUUUCCAAUGCCAUCCCAUCAGCCAAGGAUUCCAGCAUGUGGCUAACUUCAAACCUCGCUUGUGAUUUUUCAGGGCAAGGUGGAAAUUUUCAGAGAAUUGAACCUUGGCGUGUGACCUUGCCUCAGAUUGAAGCUGCUUCUAAAGUUUGAGGGUCUGGUCCAAGAGCAGAGUAUUGGCUUUGGAGUCGUGAUGACAGACACGGCAAGAGCCACAACUGACUGCCAAGACUGCUCACUGAAGAGAGAGCAUCUCAGGAUUAAAUUUGUUUUGUCAUGUGAGCUCAGAAUGUUCUAGUUUUCAUCAUCAGUUAAUAAUAAAGUUAUCCUGGCAAAAG
RNA transcript from Mus musculus (house mouse), 1021 nucleotides. It is a transcript of the gene named RIKEN cDNA 4933411G06 gene, with no coding region annotated. The record is from RefSeq and is marked validated. The transcript has a single exon. NCBI's taxonomy places the organism in Eukaryota, Metazoa, Chordata, Mammalia, Rodentia, Muridae.